Molecule: ribosomal RNA, 414 nt
Filed under: Scytinostroma caudisporum
Lineage: Eukaryota; Fungi; Basidiomycota; Agaricomycetes; Russulales; Lachnocladiaceae
Description: LSU rRNA
Rfam family: Bacterial large subunit ribosomal RNA
Source: RNAcentral
CUCGGCAAAUUAUCYUCAUAAGUUUGACGAAAAGAGGCCUUCGCAUAAAAUUUAAAUUUUAGACAAAGUUAAAGUUUAAAUUCAUUAUUGCGAUAAAAGAAAAUCGGAAGCCACGACUGUUUACUAAAAACACAAUUCAGAGCGAUGAUAAGUAUCAUAGUAUUCUGGAUGAAAUUUGCUCAAUGCCAUUAACAUAAGAAAGGUGAUAGAAUUCUGUUACUAAUCGAAAGUCUGGUAAAUAGCGGUCUUAACUAUGAGGAUCCAAAGGUAGCAAAAUCAAUUGGCCAUUAAAUGUGGUCGGGUAUCAAUAAUGUAACGAUGGUUUCACUGUCUCUACAACUUGCUCAGUGAAAUUGAACUGUGAGUGCAGAUGCUCACUAACUCAAGGGGGACGGGAAGACCCUAUGCAGCUUU